This 253-nucleotide ribosomal RNA is filed under the name uncultured bacterium. RNAcentral describes it as "partial 16S ribosomal RNA". It matches the Rfam family "Bacterial small subunit ribosomal RNA", at positions 524 to 776 of the family's 1533-position model. The record is from RNAcentral.
UACGGGGGGGGUAAGCGUUGUUCGGAAUUACUGGGCGUAAAGGGCUCGUAGGCGGCCAACUAAGUCAGACGUGAAAUCCCUCAGCUUAACUGGGGAACUGCGUCUGAUACUGGAUGGCUUGGAUUCGGGAGAGGAAUGCGGAAUUCCAGGUGUAGCGGUGAAAUGCGCAGAUAUCAGGAAGAACACCCGUGGCGAAGGCGGUUCUCUGGGACGGUACUGACGCUGAGACGCGAAAGCGUGGGGAGCAAACAGG